GAUGAACGCUGGCGGCGUGCCUAAUACAUGCAAGUCGAGCGAACAGACGAGGAGCUUGCUCCUCUGACGUUAGCGGCGGACGGGGGAGUAACACGUGGAUAACCUACCUAUAAGACUGGGAUAACUUCGGGAAACCGGAGCUAAUACCGGAUAAUAUAUUGAACCGCAUGGUUCAAUAGUGAAAGACGGUUUUGCUGUCACUUAUAGAUGGAUCCGCGCCGCAUUAGCUAGUUGGUAAGGUAACGGCUUACCAAGGCAACGAUGCGUAGCCGACCUGAGAGGGUGAUCGGCCACACUGGAACUGAGACACGGUCCAGACUCCUACGGGAGGCAGCAGUAGGGAAUCUUCCGCAAUGGGCGAAAGCCUGACGGAGCAACGCCGCGUGAGUGAUGAAGGUCUUCGGAUCGUAAAACUCUGUUAUUAGGGAAGAACAAAUGUGUAAGUAACUGUGCACGUCUUGACGGUACCUAAUCAGAAAGCCACGGCUAACUACGUG
This 497-nucleotide ribosomal RNA is filed under the name uncultured bacterium. RNAcentral describes it as "partial 16S ribosomal RNA". It matches the Rfam family "Bacterial small subunit ribosomal RNA", at positions 28 to 507 of the family's 1533-position model. The record is from RNAcentral.